GGUGAGGUUUUUCCAGUCCUUUAAACCUUAAAAGAGACACAACCCCAAAGAUACUAGAGUAAUUCUGUCCUCUUAGAGAAAUCUGUGGGGAGUCUUGUUGUUGUUCAGUCGGUCAGUCGUGUCCACUCUUUGUGACCCCAUGGACUGCAGCACUCCAGGUUUUCCCAUCCUUCAACAUUGCCUGGGGUUUACUCAAACUCAUGUUGAUUGAGUUGAUAAUGCCAUGCAAUCAGCUCAUCUUCUGUCAUCCCCUUCUACAUGCCCUUUUCUCACACCCUCGAGUUUCUUUGUAGGUACACAAAGAUUUCUAGGUUCUUGGGAAUUUAGAUAUGAAGUCUAAUGCAUCUCUGAUUGACAUCAAGGAGCAGGACACAGGAAAGGCGUUAGUUGUUACAUAUUUCCUGUCAUUGGUGUUUGCCACCAACAAGAUUUGCUAUUUAGGAUUUUCAAAAACUAGCUUGAACAAUAGGAAUGUGGUAGAUGUUCACAACAAUCUGUGGCCAGUUGUGUAUAAAUACAUUGCUAUUGUUGUUUAGUCACUAAGUUGUGUCCAACUCUUUGGGACACCAUGGACUGUAACCCACCAGCCUCCUCUGCUCAUGGGAUUUUCCAGACAAGAAUCCUGGGGUGGUUUGCCAUUUUCUUCUCCAGGUGAUCUUCCUGACUUAGGGAUCAAACCAGUGUAUCUUGCAUUGGCAGGUGGAUUCUUUACCACUGAGCCACCAGGAAAGCUCUAUGUAUGAAUAAGAUUUGGCCAAAUGUAUGCUAAAGACAGAGAAGAGAAGGGAGAGUCCAGUAUUUUAAACUCAAGUGCUUGUGAGGCAAGGAACUCUAAAGAAUCUUCUGGGAGAGAAUAUUAGCGAGAAUUUAAAAUAUUAUAGCAAACACUUAUUGAGGCAUACUAUAGGCCAGAGAUUGAACUAGUCACUUCAUAUAUUAACUGUUCUGAGUCUAUAUAUGUGUGUGCUUCAGCACACAUACUGUUUUCUUUGCUCCAUAUAUCAAGUAUUAAUAGCCUGGAAAUAGCACAAAUGAGCAAAUGAUAAAAUGUAAUUUCCUUAUAUAUACUUCCAUGUGUAAGUGACUUCAUAGCAGUGUAAUAUGCUAGCCUACUCUAAAUUACUGAGUUCCACAAGACAUCAUAGUGUGACCAAUCAAAAUUAUUUAUUAUUACUAAAUAAAUCUAUCUACUGCUUGUUAAACAGAAGCAGAGGCUAAUUAUAUAAUAAUGAGUAUAUAACCA
RNAcentral lists this long non-coding RNA (1243 nucleotides) under Capra hircus (goat). RNAcentral describes it as "lncRNA (ENSCHIG00010004796.1)". The record is from RNAcentral. Lineage: Eukaryota; Metazoa; Chordata; Mammalia; Artiodactyla; Bovidae.